This 211-nucleotide long non-coding RNA is filed under the name Panax ginseng (ginseng). Its description in RNAcentral is "long non-coding RNA (PGIN_LNC009360)". Lineage: Eukaryota; Viridiplantae; Streptophyta; Magnoliopsida; Apiales; Araliaceae. The record is from RNAcentral.
AGCUCAAAAUUAGACUUGUAAUCUAUAAAUACAUGAUGUAAGACAUAAAAUAGAGAGAGAUUACAUAGAUUAGACUAGAUUAAACACUCCUUUAGAUUAGAACAUAACCCUAGUUCUUAUUAGUUUUGGGGAUUGAAGUAACUUGGAGACCAUUGAAGAUUCAAAGCAAGAGCAAGAGGGGAGCAUCAGAUUUACUGACAACAGAUUCUAU